This 223-nucleotide long non-coding RNA is filed under the name Salvia miltiorrhiza (redroot sage). Its description in RNAcentral is "long non-coding RNA (SMIL_LNC013471)". The record is from RNAcentral. Lineage: Eukaryota; Viridiplantae; Streptophyta; Magnoliopsida; Lamiales; Lamiaceae.
CGAAUAAUAUAUCUGCUCCGGUAUCAUGGAAAUAAAUUGGUGGAGUUUUGACCUUGUACCAAGGUGUCUGUCCUGCUCCGCCUAUCAAUAUUUCCGUUUGUUUUACUCCUUUUGAUAAGAGUAAAAUCUUCUUGGAGAAAUCCCUUCCUGCAAUUCGAGGUAGAUCUUCUUCCACUUCUGUUGGAAAGACUCCUCGUUUUGCUGUACAGAUUCCUGCUCCUGA